GAAAAACCUUACCUACCCUUGACAUGCCAGGAACUUGCCAGAGAUGGCUUGGUGCUCGAAAGAGAGCCUGGACACAGGUGCUGCAUGGCCGUCGUCAGCUCGUGUCGUGAGAUGUUGGGUUAAGUCCCGCAACGAGCGCAACCCUUGUCAUUAGUUGCUACGAAAGGGCACUCUAAUGAGACUGCCGGUGACAAACCGGAGGAAGGUGGGGAUGACGUCAGGUCCUCAUGGCCCUUAUGGGUAGGGCCACACACGUCAUACAAUGGCCGGGACAGAGGGCUGCCAACCCGCGAGGGGGAGCUAAUCCCAGAAACCCGGUCGUAGCCCGGAUCGUAGUCUGCAACUCGACUGCGUGAAGUCGGAAUCGCUAGUAAUCGCGGAUCAGCUUGCCGCGGUGAAUACGUUCCCGGGUCUUGUACACACCGCCCGUCACACCAUGGGAGC
This 444-nucleotide ribosomal RNA is filed under the name uncultured bacterium. Its description in RNAcentral is "bacterial SSU rRNA". It matches the Rfam family "Bacterial small subunit ribosomal RNA", at positions 963 to 1411 of the family's 1533-position model. The record is from RNAcentral.